UACGUAGGUCCCGAGCGUUGUCCGGAUUUAUUGGGCGUAAAGCGAGCGCAGGCGGUUCUUUAAGUCUGAAGUUAAAGGCAGUGGCUCAACCAUUGUACGCUUUGGAAACUGGAGAACUUGAGUGCAGAAGGGGAGAGUGGAAUUCCAUGUGUAGCGGUGAAAUGCGUAGAUAUAUGGAGGAACACCGGUGGCGAAAGCGGCUCUCUGGUCUGUAACUGACGCUGAGGCUCGAAAGCGUGGGGAGCAAACAGG
RNAcentral lists this ribosomal RNA (252 nucleotides) under uncultured bacterium. Its description in RNAcentral is "partial 16S ribosomal RNA". It matches the Rfam family "Bacterial small subunit ribosomal RNA", at positions 524 to 776 of the family's 1533-position model. The record is from RNAcentral.